UCCCUUGAAGCUCAGUUGGUAAAGAAUCUGCCUGCAAUGCAGGAGAUCCAGGUUUGAUCCCUGGGUCGGGAA
Molecule: transfer RNA, 72 nt
Filed under: Bos taurus (domestic cattle)
Lineage: Eukaryota; Metazoa; Chordata; Mammalia; Artiodactyla; Bovidae
Also listed under: 5 other names
Rfam family: tRNA
About the family: Transfer RNA (tRNA) molecules are approximately 80 nucleotides in length. Their secondary structure includes four short double-helical elements and three loops (D, anti-codon, and T loops).
Source: Rfam by way of RNAcentral